Molecule: long non-coding RNA, 1501 nt
Organism: Piliocolobus tephrosceles (Ugandan red Colobus)
Lineage: Eukaryota; Metazoa; Chordata; Mammalia; Primates; Cercopithecidae
Exons: 4
Source: RefSeq, a predicted model, not a curated record
CCCGCUGGCCCGACCUGGUGUGAAGAGCGGUGCAGAGGCGACGCGGGCUGGGGACUCCGGGUGGACCCGAGACCCCGCGAGGAGGCGUCACUGUCCCCAAGUCCCCAAGACGCCUCCCCUGCCCUCCUGAGGUUCCCACUCAUGUCCGGGCGACAGAGAAGAAAGCCACGUGUGAUGGGCAACUUCGUCCCAGAAAGGGAUACGAGCGGGAAUGGAAAUAAAAAGAGUAACGGGACAAAGCAUGAUCACAGGCAGAUGGGCAAUCCCGGAGGGCCUCUCUAAGGAGACGACUUUUGAGCUCAGACCUGGGUAAUGAGAGAAAACCAGCCUGGGAAGAUCCCCAGGGAGAGCGUUCCAUAAGGAGGUGCAAUUGCCAGGCCCCUGCCUGGAAGAGUUGACCGGAGCGAGGGGGUGAGUGAGAAAAUAGGCCUGGUGCGGUGGCUCACGCCUGUAAUCCCAACACUUUGGGAGGCCGAGGCGGGCGGAUCACCUGAGUCCAGGAGUUCGAGAGGAAAACUCACCAUCAUGCCCAUUAUGUUGAUUCUCUGAAUAAGCAGUCCACAGAGACAGAAGAGUUCACACCAAUGAAUAAUCAUUCAAGCAAUAUUACUUACUUGCAUUACAAUAACGCUGACAUGUUAGAGGAGGAGUACUAGAACAUCGAAGUUGACAAGGUUUGCAGUCAUGCAACAAACUGUCAAAAUAUUCAUUUUGGGAGCACUGCCGAGCCAUCUGCAACAUGAUCACAAAAAGAAAACAAGGGAGCUACACAAAGAACAGCCUGGAAGAACAAGUAAUAUCUCUUCAAGAAUUCCGGAGCAAAUGCAGCAAGAGCAGCUAGAAGGUCGAGAACUAUGAACUUGGCGUGCUUCGUGGGUUCUUACGGGGCUGUCUGUUUCUUCGCGGCAGCUAAGGAUUUGAAUACCACAUCUAAUACAAGUUUCUAAGUUUGAGUCGUGGAUGGGGGCUCUUGGGAGAUGCUGGGUGCUGUGCUGCGUGUUUUGCAACGAGCUGAUCUUCUCAUCAAUCCGGUAAGGGCUUGAGCAAUUCACUUUCCCUCCCUGACUCUUGGUGACCUGUGCUGUGAAAUAGAGAGAGACACCUACCACCUGCUGUCAGAGCCCAUCAAGGUAAGAACACAAGAGGGAGGUGCCCAUCAACAUGGGUCCUCUUCAUGGAGGAGGGGCAGAGGAAAGAUUCAUGUAUGAUUAAUGACUGGCGGCAAUUUCCUGCCUGCCUUUGAAAUGAAUCAAAAAUAAGUGAAAAAGCAUGGCUGAGGCAAAGCAUUUGGGUCUGCAGGGACUCUGCAGUGGACCAGAGGAGGCCUGGGGCUGGCUGAGUCAUCUAAGUGGGUGAUCGGUUUUUUCCUGUUUUCAAAACGAGAGCCAGGUUCCAGAGGGGAUAGGUGGAGUGGGAUUAAACGUUUCCCGCCAAGCAUCCUCGCAGUGGAAGCCUUCCCAAGCAGCAUCAUUGGGUAAAUUUCCGUUGCCACUAUCUGAAA